RNAcentral lists this transfer RNA (69 nucleotides) under Dipodomys ordii (Ord's kangaroo rat). It matches the Rfam family "tRNA". Rfam says of the family: Transfer RNA (tRNA) molecules are approximately 80 nucleotides in length. Their secondary structure includes four short double-helical elements and three loops (D, anti-codon, and T loops). Lineage: Eukaryota; Metazoa; Chordata; Mammalia; Rodentia; Heteromyidae. The record is from Rfam by way of RNAcentral.
GGGAAAGUAGCUCAGUAGCAGAGCACUUGCCUUGCAUGCAUGAGGCUCUGGGUUCUAUCCUCAGCACCA